GUAGUCUGCAACUCGACUACAUGAAGCUGGAAUCGCUAGUAAUCGCGAAUCAGAAUGUCGCGGUGAAUACGUUCCCGGGUCUUGUACACACCGCCCGUCACACCAUGGGAGUCAGUAACGCCCGAAGCCGGUGACCCAACCAGUUCAGGAGGGAGCCGUCGAAGGUGGGACCGAUAACUGGGGUGAAGUCGUAACAAGGUAUC
This 203-nucleotide ribosomal RNA is filed under the name uncultured bacterium. RNAcentral describes it as "partial 16S ribosomal RNA". It matches the Rfam family "Bacterial small subunit ribosomal RNA", at positions 1300 to 1500 of the family's 1533-position model. The record is from RNAcentral.